This 404-nucleotide unclassified non-coding RNA is filed under the name soil metagenome. Its description in RNAcentral is "partial contains 5.8S ribosomal RNA, internal transcribed spacer 2, and large subunit ribosomal RNA". The stretch from base 1 to 121 matches the Rfam family "5.8S ribosomal RNA", at positions 35 to 154 of the family's 154-position model. The record is from RNAcentral.
GAUGAAGAACGCAGCGAAAUGCGAUAAGUAAUGUGAAUUGCAGAAUUCAGUGAAUCAUCGAAUCUUUGAACGCACCUUGCGCCCUUUGGCUAUUCCGAAGGGCAUGCCUGUUUGAGUAUCAUGAACACCUCAACUCUCAUGGUUUGCCAUGAUGAGCUUGGACUUUGGGGGUCUUGCCGGCCUAUGGGUCGGCUCCUCUCAAAUUAAUCAGCUUACCAGUGUUUGGUGGCAUCACAGGUGUGAUAACUAUCUACGCUUGUGGUUUUCCAUCAGGUAACCUUCAGUGAUGGAGGUUCGCUGGGGCUCAUAAAUGUCUCUCCUCAGUGAGGACAGCUUUUUUGAACGUUUGAUCUCAAAUCAGGUAGGACUACCCGCUGAACUUAAGCAUAUCAAUAAGCGGAGGA